GAUGAACGCUGGCGGCGUGCCUAAUACAUGCAAGUCGAGCGAACGGACGAGAAGCUUGCUUCUCUGAUGUUAGCGGCGGACGGGUGAGUAACACGUGGAUAACCUACCUAUAAGACUGGGAUAACUUCGGGAAACCGUAGCUAAUACCGGAUAAUAUUUUGAACCGCAUGGUUCAAAAGUGAAAGACGGUCUUGCUGUCACUUAUAGAUGGAUCCGCGCUGCAUUAGCUAGUUGGUAAGGUAACGGCUUACCAAGGCAACGAUGCAUAGCCGACCUGAGAGGGUGAUCGGCCACACUGGAACUGAGACACGGUCCAGACUCCUACGGGAGGCAGCAGUAGGGAAUCUUCCGCAAUGGGCGAAAGCCUGACGGAGCAACGCCGCGUGAGUGAUGAAGGUCUUCGGAUCGUAAAACUCUGUUAUUAGGGAAGAACAUAUGUGUAAGUAACUGUGCACAUCUUGACGGUACCUAAUCAGAAAGCCACGGCUAACUACGUGCCAGCAGCCGCGGUAAUACGUAGGUGGCAAGCGUUAUCCGGAAUUAUUGGGCGUAAAGCGCGCGUAGGCGGUUUUUUAAGUCUGAUGUGAAAGCCCGCGGCUCAACCGUGGAGGGUCAUUGGAAACUGGAAAACUUGAGUGCAGAAGAGGAAAGUGGAAUUCCAUGUGUAGCGGUGAAAUGCGCAGAGAUAUGGAGGAACACCAGUGGCGAAGGCGACUUUCUGGUCUGUAACUGACGCUGAUGUGCGAAAGCGUGGGGAUCAAACAGGAUUAGAUACCCUGGUAGUCCACGCCGUAAACGAUGAGUGCUAAGUGUUAGGGGGUUUCCGCCCCUUAGUGCUGCAGCUAACGCAUUAAGCACUCCGCCUGGGGAGUACGACCGCAAGGUUGAAACUCAAAGGAAUUGACGGGGACCCGCACAAGCGGUGGGGCAUGUGGUUUAAUUCGAAGCAACGCGAAGAACCUUACCAAAUCUUGACAUCCUUUGACAACUCUAGAGAUAGAGCCUUCCCCUUCGGGGGACAAAGUGACAGGUGGUGCAUGGUUGUCGUCAGCUCGUGUCGUGAGAUGUUGGGUUAAGUCCCGCAACGAGCGCAACCCUUAAGCUUAGUUGCCAUCAUUAAGUUGGGCACUCUAAGUUGACUGCCGGUGACAAACCGGAGGAAGGUGGGGAUGACGUCAAAUCAUCAUGCCCCUUAUGAUUUGGGCUACACACGUGCUACAAUGGACAAUACAAAGGGCAGCGAAACCGCGAGGUCAAGCAAAUCCCAUAAAGUUGUUCUCAGUUCGGAUUGUAGUCUGCAACUCGACUACAUGAAGCUGGAAUCGCUAGUAAUCGUAGAUCAGCAUGCUACGGUGAAUACGUUCCCGGGUCU
RNAcentral lists this ribosomal RNA (1372 nucleotides) under uncultured bacterium. RNAcentral describes it as "bacterial SSU rRNA". It matches the Rfam family "Bacterial small subunit ribosomal RNA", at positions 28 to 1381 of the family's 1533-position model. The record is from RNAcentral.